This 313-nucleotide long non-coding RNA is filed under the name Theobroma cacao (cacao). RNAcentral describes it as "long non-coding RNA (TCAC_LNC005896)". The record is from RNAcentral. Lineage: Eukaryota; Viridiplantae; Streptophyta; Magnoliopsida; Malvales; Malvaceae.
UCCAUGCUAGAUAUAAAGGUCUGAGGAUGCAGAAGAAAAACAAAAAAAAGGAAAAGUGCAUUCUUCACAAGAAUUCAAGCACAACUCAUUCUUACACAAAUUUAUAGCUGUAAUAGGUUCAUAAAUGACACAAUACUGUAUGCUGUAACACACUUGAGCUGUAAUAGGUUCAUAAAUGACACAAUACUGUAUGCCAUAACAUACUUAACAGCUUACCACCAAACCAGCAAGCAUGGUCUAUAAUGGUAAGAAACACACAUAAAGGUUUCUCAGGUCUUCACAUGGAUGAGCAUAUCAUUUGAACUAAAUUUGC